ACGAACCGUACGAACGUUAUUCGGAAUCACUGGGCUUAAAGAGUUCGUAGGCGGCUUGGUAAGUCAGAUGUGAAAUCCCACAGCUCAACUGUGGAACUGCGUUUGAUACUGUCAAGCUUGAGGAAGACAGGGGUGAGCGGAACUGAUGGUGGAGCGGUGAAAUGCGUUGAUAUCAUCAGGAACACCGGUGGCGAAGGCGGCUCACUGGGUCUUUUCUGACGCUGAGGAACGAAAGCUAGGGGAGCGAACGGG
Molecule: ribosomal RNA, 252 nt
Filed under: uncultured bacterium
Lineage: Bacteria
Description: partial 16S ribosomal RNA
Rfam family: Bacterial small subunit ribosomal RNA
Source: RNAcentral